Long non-coding RNA from Micropterus dolomieu (smallmouth bass), 154 nucleotides. RefSeq lists it as uncharacterized. Lineage: Eukaryota; Metazoa; Chordata; Actinopteri; Centrarchiformes; Centrarchidae. The record is from RefSeq and is a predicted model, not a curated record. The transcript is spliced from 3 exons.
AUGGAAGCCAUCUUUGAGCCCAGUAUCCAGUUCUUAUUAUACUCUAUUCUAUUCUAUUUGAUGAAACUUGAAAAGCACCCACUGAAGCCCAUGAUGUGCACAUGAUAGGAAGAAAUGAGGGAGAGAAAUGGUUGGGAGAGAGAGGACACUGAAG